CGCCGGAAAUCUUACCGGGACCGACAGCAAUAUGAAGGCCAGGCUGAAGACUUUGCCGGAUUAGCUGAGAGGUGGUGCAUGGCCGUCGUCAGUUCGUACUGUGAAGCAUCCUGUUAAGUCAGGCAACGAGCGAGACCCACGCCCACAGUUGCCAGCGUACUCUCUGGAGUGACGGGUACACUGUGGGACCGCCGCUGCUAAAGCGGAGGAAGGAAUGGGCAACGGUAGGUCAGUAUGCCCCGAAUAUCCCGGGCUACACGCGAGCUACAAUGGUUGGUACAAUGGGUAUCUACCCCGAAAGGGGACGGGAAUCUCCUAAAACCAAUCUUAGUUCGGAUUGAGGGCUGCAACUCGCCCUCAUGAAGCUGGAAUCCGUAGUAAUCGCGUUUCAACAGAACGCGGUGAAUACGUCCCUGCUCCUU
Molecule: ribosomal RNA, 422 nt
Filed under: uncultured Methanosaeta sp.
Lineage: Archaea; Methanobacteriati; Methanobacteriota; Methanomicrobia; Methanotrichales; Methanotrichaceae
Description: bacterial SSU rRNA
Rfam family: Archaeal small subunit ribosomal RNA
Source: RNAcentral